Long non-coding RNA from Numida meleagris (helmeted guineafowl), 2578 nucleotides. RefSeq lists it as uncharacterized. The transcript has 3 exons. NCBI's taxonomy places the organism in Eukaryota, Metazoa, Chordata, Aves, Galliformes, Numididae. The record is from RefSeq and is a predicted model, not a curated record.
UGACACUUGAAUGUUGCAGUUAAGAAAAUGGAGACCUGGAUGAAGCUGAAGGAACUGUGGGUGAGGAAGGCAGAGCGUGGGUGAGGAAGGCAGGGAUUGGCUCCCAGCCCCACAUUUUGUGAGCACAAAGACUGUCUUGGUUGAUGCAGGCAGCACUAACCAUGGGGCACAAGCUCCAGCAAGGUGCCAGGCUGUGAGGACACAAUGCUGCCAGCACACAAAGCAAAGAAGCAGACAUCCCAGCCCCCUUGGUUUUGAUGAUCCAUUAGUGACAGAUCAGAAGCUUCCCCUUUUAAAGUCGGAAACCUUUGAACUUGACUGGAAACUUUUCACCUGCUCCAGCUCUUCCCACUCAAGGGGCAAGUAUGGGGCUGCAAGAGCCCACUCCUGGGGAAGGCACACGGCAUCAGGUGCCACUGCAGGCUUUAAUGCAUCUUUUCCUUUUGCCUUUAAAGAUUAACUGCAGCAAUUAAGAGAGAGAAGCUAACAGCAUCUUCCCAGUCUCUAGAGCAACAGCGAUGGGAGACGCUCUUGCAGAAGGCAGGUCUUGGUCUUUUUAACUGUUUUUAGACCUGUCUGGUGCUUUUAGACCUGCCUGCGCUUUAACUCCUUGCUGGCCUUUUCUUCCACACUUCUGCUGCCAUGCUGCAACUCUAACAAAAACAGGAAUGCAAAAGUGAACGAAAAGGAUGGGAGAUGUGGCAUGGGGGAAACGAGCCUAAAUUUAGCCUCUGCUUUAAAAAAAAAAAUAAAAAAAAAUCACUAAAUAGAUCCACAGCGGGAACGCCACUGCCCGAAGGGGUCUGCAGCAGGAGCAGAGGCUGUUGCUAUGAGACCUGUUGCUACGGCAGAACUCCCAUCCUCUUCCUACAAACAAAACCACUGACUGUCAGCAAAGGAAUCGGCCUUUUUACCUCCGGCUGCUCCGGGGAGGUCUGACCAGGCAUGAUGUACUAGAUAACAAACAGCAGCAUAGAUUUACUUUGUACUUCUCCAGAUUUAGCAUUUCUUAUUUUAGCGCUCACAGACCAAAGCACAGGCUGAACUCACCAGACAGGGACUGGGCAAUAUACUGUCAUCCAAAGAGACCAAAGGUGGGCAGGAAAACAGGAGGCAAGGGAAUAAAGGGACAUCAGCCCCAGCUCUGCUGGUGUUCUGCAUCACCUGCAGUUUAUCAUCUGCAUUCACACACUCCGUGAGUAAGCUGCUCAUGCCUCAAAACAACCGGGCAGGCUUAUGAAAACAUCUCAGCAGACAAAAAGCAGACCUCUGAAAACCAACAGCAGCACGGCUGAGCCCACAAGUCCUCUCCAUCUCACCCCUCCAGGUCCGGAAACAGCUGGGCUCCUCCAGGGCUUUUACAUGGAAUCGUUAAGUGUUCACCAAGACUGUGCCCUUCACAACGAGCACUGCUGAACUGUGCCAUGCCAGAGGUGGCUGCAGCCAGCAACAGGAGAAUGAAAGCUGAAUGGUUUGGCCUCAAUCAUUGAGCAACAGCCUGGGCUGUUUCCUGGGCUGUCUCUUAAUUUCUGCAGGAUGAAAAUUAGGUCAUUACAGAGCUCUUCUGAAAACACAGACAUUAAACCUCAAACUCUGUAAAUGCCAGUGCUCUUCUGACAAGUUCUUGACUUGGCAACAGCAAGGUUACUCAGCUCCCUUUGGCAUAUGCAGCACCAGAUAGCAUGCAAUAAAGUGACCACAUUCACCAGCCUCCUUGGACACCUUGGGCCGGCUGUCCAUACCAACCCACCUACUACAGUGCCUGCUUCCCCCAGCCCCUCCGCUCAUGCCAGGUACCACAGCAGUCCUGGGCAGCUGGAGGCUGAAAAAGAAUGGAAAAAUCUCCCUCAUUUCUCGCCUCUGAGUCAGAGCAUGCUCAGAAGACAAAGAAGUUUGGAGAAUUUAGCUGCCAAAUUCUAACAGGGUCUGGGCUCGUGAAUGCAAAGGCCUUCCAAAGGCUUAUAAAUCACAUCUGUCUCAAAAGCUUUUCCAUAGGAAGAGCAGAAGACACAUUCCUGCACCAACAUGCUACAGUAGGAGGCAUGAUUUACUACCCAACAGAAAGGUUAUUGUGCAUGUGUUUUUUGAAUGCUUUGCUCUCAAACAGAGAGCAGAAAGACAUCAUUCUUACUACAAAAGUUUUGCAAAAAAAAAAAAGAGAGACAAGUAGACAGCAAUGCAUCCAAAUUUUAAACACCUGGAAGUUUCCCAAGUCCAAAUCCAAGCUGGUCAUCAUGGCUAUUACUAUAACCCUUACUGACAAACAGGUACCUCCAACAGCUUCCAGGGCAAGCAUGCAAGACAAAUGGGUGCAACACCCUCAUGCACUUCCACAGGGAUUUGGCCUCUCUGCAGGCAACAGCAGAAGCCCACCCUACCACCAGCUCUGACUUGGGCAAGUAACAACCCAACACGAAACACUUCAACCCAAAGAGAUGAAGUGUGACAAGCACUCAAAGUAUUUUUUGCCAGGAAUGACCCAACAAACUUUACAGCAGGUAAGAGAAGUAGCUCUGCCCCUUUCAACUUCCCUGAGGCUGAUGUGAUUUGGGGUCCCUGCUGGGACAGGACAUCAGAG